Long non-coding RNA from Ornithorhynchus anatinus (platypus), 442 nucleotides. RefSeq lists it as uncharacterized. The record is from RefSeq and is a predicted model, not a curated record. The transcript has 2 exons. Lineage: Eukaryota; Metazoa; Chordata; Mammalia; Monotremata; Ornithorhynchidae.
CCUCCUCCCCUACCCGAGCGUUUAUUGGAAAAUAUGGCCGAAGGACAAUCACAAAGAAAGGAAGGUUGGGAAGAUGAAAAUGCGAGAAAGGGGAAGGGAAGGGAUGUUCCACGUGAUAUGCACAACAGUAAACAUCCAUCUUGAACGUUCUUCUAGGGGUAAUAGUAAUUAUUUGGAGAAUGGGUAAGAGCCUCACACAAAGUGGAAAAAGGAUGAUUGACGGGACCGCCAUCUUGUGUGUGGGGAAACUCUGGAAGGGAAAAAUUGGGUAACCAUUUUGGAAGCUAGCGGACUCGCCGGUCGCAUCUCAAAGUCUCCCAAUUUAUGUUCCCACACCUGGGCUCUGUAAGAAGCAGUAUCUCCACAAAUGUCAUGAGUUGAUGAUCUUCAGUCAGAGGAAAUGGAUUAUGUUAGGCCACAGAUUAAACUCUGAAACAAUCAA